Molecule: long non-coding RNA, 511 nt
Organism: Bubalus bubalis (water buffalo)
Lineage: Eukaryota; Metazoa; Chordata; Mammalia; Artiodactyla; Bovidae
Exons: 4
Source: RefSeq, a predicted model, not a curated record
UCCCAGGCAAGAAUACUGGAGUGGGUUGCCAUUUCCUUUUCAGGGAAUCCUCCUGACCCAGGGAUCCAACCUGCAUCUCGUCUCCUGCAUUAGCAGGCGGAUUCUUUACCACUAGCCGCCGGGGAAGCCCUAAGGAUGGGCCUAUGGGGGUCUCCGUGGGGUAGGAGCUGGGAUCAGGGCACUGCCAGCGCAGAUGUGGACCGAGUGCCUUCUCUUGGAUAGAAACUGAGGAUCCGGAGGUCAACGUGCGAUGUGGUCCUGCCCUCUCAGAUCUUCGUGCGGCGCUGCCCCGGCUGCAUCUCUAGGACUCGUGGCCCGCUCUCCUCCUGGACUCUGGCGGUGGUGGCACAGGGAGCAGUCUUCGCUGGUUUUCUGGAACCCUGGACAGCUCCCCGAAGAUCUCAUCCUUCCUAACUCCUGGGCCUCCCCUGGAUAAAGGCCCCUCCUGGUUGGUGCUUGGCCGAGGACAGUGGCGGAGCGUGAGGGAGGCUGGCAGCCCAUCAUCCAUCCC